Molecule: ribosomal RNA, 482 nt
Filed under: uncultured bacterium
Lineage: Bacteria
Description: partial 16S ribosomal RNA
Rfam family: Bacterial small subunit ribosomal RNA
Source: RNAcentral
GACGAACGCUGGCGGCGUGCUUAACACAUGCAAGUCGAACGCUGAAGCUCAGCUUGCUGGGUGGAUGAGUGGCGAACGGGUGAGUAACACGUGAGUAACCUGCCCUCUUCUUUGGGUUAAGGCCCGGAAACGGGGGCUAUAACUGGAAAAUCAUUGAUCCUCGCAUGGGGGUGGGUGGAAAGGUUUUUUUUGGGGGGGGUGGGGCUCGCGGCCAAUCAGCUGGUUGGUGGGGUGAUGGCCUACCAAGGCUUUGACGGGUAGCCGGCCUGAGAGGGUGACCGGUCACAUUGGGACUGAGAUACGGCCCAGACUCCUACGGGAGGCAGCAGUGGGGAAUAUUGCACAAUGGGCGAAAGCCUGAUGCAGCGACGCCGCGUGAGGGAUGGAGGCCUUCGGGUUGUAAACCUCUUUCGCUCAUGGUCAAGCCGCAGCGUUGGGUUGUGGUGAGGGUAGUGGGUGAAGAAGCGCCGGCUAACUACGUG